RNAcentral lists this ribosomal RNA (776 nucleotides) under uncultured Neocallimastigales. RNAcentral's name for it is "partial large subunit ribosomal RNA". It matches the Rfam family "Eukaryotic large subunit ribosomal RNA", at positions 24 to 649 of the family's 3401-position model. Lineage: Eukaryota; Fungi; Neocallimastigomycota; Neocallimastigomycetes; Neocallimastigales. The record is from RNAcentral.
UAUGUGAUCGUCUCUCGCAUAUCAAUAAGCGGAGGAAAAGAAACUAACAAGGAUUCCCCUAGUAACGGCGAGUGAAGCGGGAAGAGCUCAAAUUUGAAAUCUUAAAGGGUUUCCCUCUACGAAUUGUAGUUUAAAGAAGUGUUUUCUGUUGAGGUUUUGGUAAAAGUUCUUUGGAAUAGGACAUCAUAGAGGGUGAGAAUCCCGUAUUUGACCUUUACUUUCAACUUUGUGAUACACUUUCAAAGAGUCGGAUUGUUUGGGAAUGCAGUCCAAAAUGGGUGGUAAAUUUCAUCUAAAGCUAAAUAUUGGCGAGAGACCGAUAGCGAACAAGUACCGUGAGGGAAAGAUGAAAAGAACUUUGAAAAGAGAGUUAAACAGUACGUGAAAUUGUCAAAAGGGAAGCGUUUGACACCAGUGUUGUUUUUCUGAAAAUCAAUUAAAGAACUGUUUAUGCUAAGUCUGUUUAGACUUUAUCAGCUAACUGUUUAGUUUUGAGCUUUUCUUUAAUGCACUUUUCAGUUAACAAGUCAACAUCAAUUUCUUUUGCUGUAAAAAAGCUUGAGGAAGGUGGCUUGAGAUUCGUCUUAAGUGUUUAUAGCCUCUUGCCUAUGCAGUCGGAGAGAUUGAGGUCUGCAGCGUAGAUCCUUCGGGGCUAAAUGCAUUUGUGCUAAGUUAUAGCAUUUUAUAGACAACCUUGUUGACUAUGAUUUGUCUUGUAGCUUACUCGCUUAUGUUAUUUUACCUACGCUUAGGAUGUUGAGUAGCGACAUACGCAC